UACGAAGGGGGCUAGCGUUGUUCGGAAUCACUGGGCGUAAAGCGCACGCAGGCGGGUCGUUAAGUCAGGGGUGAAAUCCCGAGGCUCAACCUCGGAACUGCCUUUGAUACUGGCGACCUUUGAGUCCGGGAGAGGUGAGUGGAACUCCGAGUGUAGAGGUGAAAUUCGUAGAUAUUCGGAAGAACACCAGUGGCGAAGGCGGCUCACUGGCCCGGUACUGACGCUCAGGUGCGAAAGCGUGGGGAGCAAACAGG
This 254-nucleotide ribosomal RNA is filed under the name uncultured bacterium. Its description in RNAcentral is "partial 16S ribosomal RNA". It matches the Rfam family "Bacterial small subunit ribosomal RNA", at positions 524 to 776 of the family's 1533-position model. The record is from RNAcentral.